RNAcentral lists this transfer RNA (71 nucleotides) under Bos taurus (domestic cattle). It matches the Rfam family "tRNA". From Rfam's summary of the family: Transfer RNA (tRNA) molecules are approximately 80 nucleotides in length. Their secondary structure includes four short double-helical elements and three loops (D, anti-codon, and T loops). Further hydrogen bonds mediate the characteristic L-shaped molecular structure. tRNAs have two regions of fundamental functional importance: the anti-codon, which is responsible for specific mRNA codon recognition, and the 3' end, to which the tRNAs corresponding amino acid is attached (by aminoacyl-tRNA synthetases). tRNAs cope with the degeneracy of the genetic code in two manners: having more than one tRNA (with a specific anti-codon) for a particular amino acid; and 'wobble' base-pairing, i.e. permitting non-standard base-pairing at the 3rd anti-codon position. Lineage: Eukaryota; Metazoa; Chordata; Mammalia; Artiodactyla; Bovidae. RNAcentral also lists the same sequence under 1 other name. The record is from Rfam by way of RNAcentral.
UCCUAGGUGGCUCAGUGGUAAAGAAUCUGUCUGCCAAGCAGGAGACACGGGUUUGAUUCCCGGGUUGGGAA